This 498-nucleotide ribosomal RNA is filed under the name uncultured bacterium. Its description in RNAcentral is "partial 16S ribosomal RNA". It matches the Rfam family "Bacterial small subunit ribosomal RNA", at positions 30 to 523 of the family's 1533-position model. The record is from RNAcentral.
AUUGAACGCUGGCGGCAUGCCUUACACAUGCAAGUCGAACGGUAACAGGUCUUCGGAUGCUGACGAGUGGCGAACGGGUGAGUAAUACAUCGGAACGUGCCUAGUAGUGGGGGAUAACUACUCGAAAGAGUGGCUAAUACCGCAUGAGAUCUACGGAUGAAAGCAGGGGAUCGCAAGACCUUGUGCUACUAGAGCGGCCGAUGGCAGAUUAGGUAGUUGGUGGGAUAAAAGCUUACCAAGCCGACGAUCCGUAGCUGGUCUGAGAGGACGAUCAGCCACACUGGGACUGAGACACGGCCCAGACUCCUACGGGAGGCAGCAGUGGGGAAUUUUGGACAAUGGGCGCGAGCCUGAUCCAGCAAUGCCGCGUGCAGGAUGAAGGCCUUCGGGUUGUAAACUGCUUUUGUACGGAACGAAAAGCCCUGGGUUAAUACCCUGGGGUCAUGACGGUACCGUAAGAAUAAGCACCGGCUAACUACGUGCCAGCAGCCGCGGUAA